This 1823-nucleotide ribosomal RNA is filed under the name Salmonella enterica subsp. enterica. Its description in RNAcentral is "partial 23S ribosomal RNA". It matches the Rfam family "Bacterial large subunit ribosomal RNA", at positions 1163 to 2925 of the family's 2925-position model. The record is from RNAcentral. Lineage: Bacteria; Pseudomonadati; Pseudomonadota; Gammaproteobacteria; Enterobacterales; Enterobacteriaceae.
CAAGACAACUUUACGGAGUUGACGAUUGACGGAGCGAAGCGACGUCAAAGCGUUCAUUAAAGUCGAGUUGGCUUAGGGAUACGUUCGUUGGGUAGGGGAGCGUUCUGUAAGCCUGUGAAGGUGUGUCGUGAGGCAUGCUGGAGGUAUCAGAAGUGCGAAUGCUGACAUAAGUAACGAUAAAGCGGGUGAAAAGCCCGCUCGCCGGAAGACCAAGGGUUCCUGUCCAACGUUAAUCGGGGCAGGGUGAGUCGACCCCUAAGGCGAGGCCGAAAGGCGUAGUCGAUGGGAAACGGGUUAAUAUUCCCGUACUUGGUGUUACUGCGAAGGGGGGACGGAGAAGGCUAUGUUGGCCGGGCGACGGUUGUCCCGGUUUAAGCGUGUAGGUGUGUGUUCCAGGUAAAUCCGGUUCACUUUAACACUGAGGCGUGACGACGAGGCACUACGGUGCUGAAGCAACAAAUGCCCUGCUUCCAGGAAAAGCCUCUAAGCAUCAGGUAACAUCAAAUCGUACCCCAAACCGACACAGGUGGUCAGGUAGAGAAUACCAAGGCGCUUGAGAGAACUCGGGUGAAGGAACUAGGCAAAAUGGUGCCGUAACUUCGGGAGAAGGCACGCUGACACGUAGGUGAAGUGAUUUACUCACGGAGCUGAAGUCAGUCGAAGAUACCAGCUGGCUGCAACUGUUUAUUAAAAACACAGCACUGUGCAAACACGAAAGUGGACGUAUACGGUGUGACGCCUGCCCGGUGCCGGAAGGUUAAUUGAUGGGGUCAGCGCAAGCGAAGCUCCUGAUCGAAGCCCCGGUAAACGGCGGCCGUAACUAUAACGGUCCUAAGGUAGCGAAAUUCCUUGUCGGGUAAGUUCCGACCUGCACGAAUGGCGUAAUGAUGGCCAGGCUGUCUCCACCCGAGACUCAGUGAAAUUGAACUCGCUGUGAAGAUGCAGUGUACCCGCGGCAAGACGGAAAGACCCCGUGAACCUUUACUAUAGCUUGACACUGAACAUUGAGCCUUGAUGUGUAGGAUAGGUGGGAGGCUUUGAAGUGUGGACGCCAGUCUGCAUGGAGCCGACCUUGAAAUACCACCCUUUAAUGUUUGAUGUUCUAACGUGGACCCGUAAUCCGGGUUGCGGACAGUGUCUGGUGGGUAGUUUGACUGGGGCGGUCUCCUCCUAAAGAGUAACGGAGGAGCACGAAGGUUGGCUAAUCCUGGUCGGACAUCAGGAGGUUAGUGCAAUGGCAUAAGCCAGCUUGACUGCGAGCGUGACGGCGCGAGCAGGUGCGAAAGCAGGUCAUAGUGAUCCGGUGGUUCUGAAUGGAAGGGCCAUCGCUCAACGGAUAAAAGGUACUCCGGGGAUAACAGGCUGAUACCGCCCAAGAGUUCAUAUCGACGGCGGUGUUUGGCACCUCGAUGUCGGCUCAUCACAUCCUGGGGCUGAAGUAGGUCCCAAGGGUAUGGCUGUUCGCCAUUUAAAGUGGUACGCGAGCUGGGUUUAGAACGUCGUGAGACAGUUCGGUCCCUAUCUGCCGUGGGCGCUGGAGAACUGAGGGGGGCUGCUCCUAGUACGAGAGGACCGGAGUGGACGCAUCACUGGUGUUCGGGUUGUCAUGCCAAUGGCACUGCCCGGUAGCUAAAUGCGGAAGAGAUAAGUGCUGAAAGCAUCUAAGCACGAAACUUGCCCCGAGAUGAGUUCUCCCUGAGACUUAGAGUCUCCUGAAGGAACGUUGAAGACGACGACGUUGAUAGGCCGGGUGUGUAAGCGCAGCGAUGCGUUGAGCUAACCGGUACUAAUGAACCGUGAGGCUUAACCUUACAACGCCGAAG